ACAAUGGAGAGUUUGAUCCUGGCUCAGGAUGAACGCUAGCGGGAGGCCUAACACAUGCAAGCCGAGCGGUAGAGUAUCUUCGGAUACUUGAGAGCGGCGCACGGGUGCGGAACACGUGUGCAACCUGCCUUUAUCUGGGGGAUAGCCUUUCGAAAGGAAGAUUAAUACCCCAUAAUAUAUUUGAUGGCAUCAUUAGAUAUUGAAAACUCCGGUGGAUAGAGAUGGGCACGCGCAAGAUUAGUUAGUUGGUGAGGUAACGGCUCACCAAGGCGAUGAUCUUUAGGGGGCCUGAGAGGGUGAUCCCCCACACUGGUACUGAGACACGGACCAGACUCCUACGGGAGGCAGCAGUGAGGAAUAUUGGACAAUGGGUUAGCGCCUGAUCCAGCCAUCCCGCGUGAAGGACGACGGCCCUAUGGGUUGUAAACUUCUUUUGUAUAGGGAUAAACCUACUCUCGUGAGAGUAGCUGAAGGUACUAUACGAAUAAGCACCGGCUAACUCCGUGCCAGCAGCCGCGGUAAUACGGAGGGUGCAAGCGUUAUCCGGAUUUAUUGGGUUUAAAGGGUCCGUAGGCGGAUCUGUAAGUCAGUGGUGAAAUCUCAUAGCUUAACUAUGAAACUGCCAUUGAUACUGCAGGUCUUGAGUAAAUUUGAAGUGGCUGGAAUAAGUAGUGUAGCGGUGAAAUGCAUAGAUAUUACUUAGAACACCAAUUGCGAAGGCAGGUCACUAAGAUUUAACUGACGCUGAUGGACGAAAGCGUGGGGAGCGAACAG
Molecule: ribosomal RNA, 774 nt
Filed under: Chryseobacterium sp.
Lineage: Bacteria; Pseudomonadati; Bacteroidota; Flavobacteriia; Flavobacteriales; Weeksellaceae
Description: bacterial SSU rRNA
Rfam family: Bacterial small subunit ribosomal RNA
Source: RNAcentral